This 497-nucleotide ribosomal RNA is filed under the name uncultured bacterium. RNAcentral's name for it is "partial 16S ribosomal RNA". It matches the Rfam family "Bacterial small subunit ribosomal RNA", at positions 28 to 507 of the family's 1533-position model. The record is from RNAcentral.
GAUGAACGCUGGCGGCGUGCCUAAUACAUGCAAGUCGAGCGAACAGACUAGGAGCUUGCUCCUCUGACGUUAUCGGCGGACGUGUGAGUAACACGUGGAUCACCUACCUAUACGACUGGUAUCACUUCGGGAAACCGGAUCUUAUCCCGUAUAAUAUAUUGAACCGUAUGGUUCAAUUGUGAAAGACGGUUUUGCUGUCACUUCUUGAUGGUUCCUCGCCGAAUUUGCUAGUUGGUAAGGUAACUGCUUACCAAGGCAACGAUGCGUAGCCGACCUGAGAGGGUGAUCGGCAAAACUGGAACGGAGACACGGUCAAGACUCCUACGGGAGGAAGCAGUAGGGAAUCUUCCGAAAGGAGCGAAAGCCGGACGGAGAAACGCGGCGUGAAUGAGGAAGGUCUUCGGAUCGAAAAACUCUGUUAAUAGGGAAGAACAAAUGUGUAAGUAAAUAUGCACGUCUUGACGGUACCUAACCAGAAAGCCACGGCUAACUACGUG